CCUACGGGAGGCAGCAGUGGGGAAUCUUGCGCAAUGGGCGAAAGCCUGACGCAGCCAUGCCGCGUGAAUGAUGAAGGUCUUAGGAUUGUAAAAUUCUUUCACCGGGGACGAUAAUGACGGUACCCGGAGAAGAAGCCCCGGCUAACUUCGUGCCAGCAGCCGCGGUAAUACGAAGGGGGCUAGCGUUGCUCGGAAUUACUGGGCGUAAAGGGAGCGUAGGCGGAUAGUUUAGUCAGAGGUGAAAGCCUAGGGCUCAACCUUGGAAUUGCCUUUGAUACUGGCUAUCUUGAGUAUGGGAGAGGUAUGCGGAACUCCGAGUGUAGAGGUGAAAUUCGUAGAUAUUCGGAAGAACACCAGUGGCGAAGGCGGCAUACUGGCCCAUUACUGACGCUGAGGCUCGAAAGCGUGGGGAGCAAACAGGAUUAGAUACCCUGGUAGUCCACGCUGUAAACGAUGAGUGCUAGUUGUCGGGCAUGCAUGCAUGUCGGUGACGCAGCUACGCAUUAAGACACCUCCGCCGUCGGGGUAGGUACGGUCGGCGAGAAUUAAAACGUUAAAACGGUAAGUUAGUACGGCGUGAGACGUGCCGACGGACGACGACGAGGGAGUUAGG
This 613-nucleotide ribosomal RNA is filed under the name uncultured bacterium. RNAcentral's name for it is "bacterial SSU rRNA". The stretch from base 1 to 519 matches the Rfam family "Bacterial small subunit ribosomal RNA", at positions 338 to 873 of the family's 1533-position model. The record is from RNAcentral.